CCCUAGUCGUCAGUGGUGCAAAGUAACUGAGUACAUUUACUCCAGUACUGUCCUUCAGUCCAAAUGUUGAGACGGGACGUCCGGUCUGACACCGUCAUGGUGGACGAGAGAGUCUUCGUCUUCCUGCUCAGGCUGUCCAACAGCGAGGGGGACUUCCUGCCAUCCCCCGGGGACGCCAGGCCUACUGGCUCAGCCAAUGAGAGUGUGUAUUAUUCCAGGUACCUGAGGUGAUGCUGGAGGAAGAUUUCGGGGUAAUCCACGGCGGAGCGUCGACAUGAAACACACUCUGACUGCACUCCUGGGUCGAGCGCCGACGGAAACUGUGGACCGAGUUCCUGCCCAAACACAAAGAAACAAACGAGAGGCUCAUGGGAAACGUAGUGUGACUCACUGGAUGUGGAUGAGCGGAUGUUUGAGCGACACGUCGGCGAGCGGCAUGCGUUGAGACGGGACGUUGGCUGCCUCCUCCCCCACCAGACCCAGCGGACUCUCCAACACUGGCAGGAAGUCCUCCGCACAGACAGGAAACAGGAAGUCGUCUG
RNAcentral lists this long non-coding RNA (542 nucleotides) under Sander lucioperca (pikeperch). RNAcentral describes it as "lncRNA (ENSSLUG00000022042.1)". Lineage: Eukaryota; Metazoa; Chordata; Actinopteri; Perciformes; Percidae. The record is from RNAcentral.